UCCUUCUGGCAAUGGGCAAGUAGACAUCUUUUUUUGGUGUGGUGUUGUUUUUAUAUCAGUCAGGGUCAGAGAACAUGGCAGUCCUUUGGUCAUCCUAGCUUGGUGCCUGGUUUGGUGGCCCAAGCUGUUUUAUGCCUAGGAUACAUAA
Molecule: small nucleolar RNA, 148 nt
Organism: Mastomys coucha (southern multimammate mouse)
Lineage: Eukaryota; Metazoa; Chordata; Mammalia; Rodentia; Muridae
Product: small nucleolar RNA SNORA48
Exons: 1
Source: RefSeq, a predicted model, not a curated record